UAAAUUUAUUAAUCUUAUCCGAGUUUUAGUACUUUAAAAAAAACUAGCAAUAAAAUAUAGAAAUCGCUUGACAAUUAUAUAUUAUAACCUCUAAUUUCCAUGUGUUUAUAUAACCCUAGACAGCAACAUAUUCUCUCGUAUAUAGACCUCAUGUGGCAGACCGGGAUAAAAAUAUUAUUUUAAUUGUAGAUACAUGACAAAUCUUUCCGCAUGCUAUUUCUCAGCGUUUUGACACUUGAUAAUAUUUAUAUAUUACUUAACAACAAAACAUUUAGCUGUAUACCUCGAAUAUAUAAGUUUUAGAUAUAUAACACUAAUGCUAUUUCAUAUAGUAUCAGAUUUUUUACUCCUCUAGGAGCUAAAUUAAAGAAAUCACUUGACAAUAACAGCAAAAUGCUAUAGCUGUGCAAUGAAAACUCCAAACAACAACAUAUUCUCUUGUAUAUAGCCCUAAUUAUUGUAUCACACACGUGGGGAGAACGCUAAAAAAUGCGUAGUCAGCAAGUUUCGCCCGAUCGUGUUUAAACCUGCCCGCGUGACGUCAUUGCAUAUAAUUAUGACGUAUGUUAAUGAGUGACGUCAUUACGCACCCUCAUUUGUAUGAAUAUUAAUUAACGCACCCUCAGCAUCCUUACGCACCCUCAUUUGUAUGAAUAUUAAUUAGCGCACCCUUACGCACCCUUACGCACCCUCAAAAAUCCGGGUCGAACGGUACCUAUAUUACUACUCACCUUAUAUGUAUAUAACUGGUAUAUUCAUUAGGUUCUAUGCAAUGUAGUUAAUCCAGAAUGCAUACAUUAUAGUAAGAUUUGUUAUAUCAUAAUUUUACUGUUGAUUAGGAGUACAGCCGCUGAGCCGCUUGCAUGCUUUCAAUACUCUUUUAUUAUCUUGGUAUAUAGGCUAAUAAUAUCUUGUCUCUACAACUAUCUUAAUAACUAAUAUAAUUAUUAUCAAUAUUAUGAACAUUGGACAUUACACUUUAGUAAUUUACAAAUUAUUAUUACACUUUUGUAUCAUACAAUUUGCAGAAUAUUUGAUUUUUGUACAGAACAGUUUUAUAGUUUGUAAUAGAUAAUACACCCUUCCGGAAAGUACUUAGCCGUGGUUAUGGAGCCUCGUUUCCUUGUGUGAGACAUUGGCGAGUCUAUCUUGUUGCUGAUUACAAAAUUAUCAAAAGGUCUUUAAUAUUCACUAGUGAUAUAUGCAACUGUAUGGUUUCGUAAAUAUGUCACCUGUAGCAAGAUAGAGAGGUCUAAACCCAACAUCUCAAUCACGAAAACGAGGCUCUAUAGCCAAAAGUGAGCACUUUCCGUAUGGUAAGCAUGCAGUAUAAUUUAUAUAUCGUAUUCGGGGGUUCUACCGCAGUAAUUUCAUGUGUAACAAUAAUACAUGUAUAUAUCUCAGUGUAUUAAAAUAUUCAGAUUAAUUUCUUUGUAGUUUUACAUGGCGCAUAAUGAAAU
This is a non-coding RNA of Paramuricea clavata, 1460 nucleotides long. The record is from the annotation of a GenBank genome assembly. Lineage: Eukaryota; Metazoa; Cnidaria; Anthozoa; Malacalcyonacea; Plexauridae.